This 483-nucleotide ribosomal RNA is filed under the name Procambarus tenuis. RNAcentral describes it as "partial 16S ribosomal RNA". It matches the Rfam family "Archaeal large subunit ribosomal RNA", at positions 2021 to 2712 of the family's 2987-position model. The record is from RNAcentral. Lineage: Eukaryota; Metazoa; Arthropoda; Malacostraca; Decapoda; Cambaridae.
GACCGUGCGAAGGUAGCAUAAUCAUUAGUUUUUUAAUUGGAGGCUAGAAUGAAUGGUUGGACAAGAAAUAAUCUGUCUUAAUUCAAUAUAUUGAAUUUAACUUUUAAGUGAAAAGGCUUAAAUAAUUUGAAGGGACGAUAAGACCCUAUAAAACUUUAUAUUUAUAAAUGAUAGUUAAUUUUAUUUUAAAAUAUUAUUUUAAAAUAUUUGGUUGGGGUGACAAGGAUAAAAUAAAAAAUAAUUGUCUUUUUUUUUUACAGUAAUAUUUGGUUUAAUGAUCCUAAAAAGGAUUAGAAGAUUAAGUUACUUUAGGGAUAACAGCGUAAUUUUCUUUGAAAGUUCUUAUUGACAAGAAAGUUUGCGACCUCGAUGUUGAAUUAAAAGUUCUUUAUAGAGUAGAAACUAUAAUAGAAGGUCUGUUCGACCUUUAAAAUUUUACAUGAUUUGAGUUCAGACCGGUGUAAGCCAGGUUGGUUUCUAUCU